This 465-nucleotide ribosomal RNA is filed under the name uncultured bacterium. Its description in RNAcentral is "partial 16S ribosomal RNA". It matches the Rfam family "Bacterial small subunit ribosomal RNA", at positions 28 to 507 of the family's 1533-position model. The record is from RNAcentral.
GACGAACGCUGGCGGCGUGCUUAACACAUGCAAGUCGUACGGUAAGGCCCUUUCGGGGGUACACGAGUGGCGAACGGGUGAGUAACACGUGAGUAACCUGCCCACAACUUUGGGAUAACGCUAGGAAACUGGUGCUAAUACUGGAUAUGUGCCCCUGCUGCAUGGUGGGGGUUGGAAAGCUCCGGCGGUUGUGGAUGGACUCGCGGCCUAUCAGCUUGUUGGUGGGGUAGUGGCCUACCAAGGCGGCGACGGGUAGCCGGCCUGAGAGGGUGACCGGCCACAUUGGGACUGAGAUACGGCCCAGACUCCUACGGGAGGCAGCAGUGGGGAAUAUUGCACAAUGGGCGCAAGCCUGAUGCAGCAACGCCGCGUGCGGGAUGACGGCCUUCGGGUUGUAAACCGCUUUCGGCAGGGACGAAGCUUUUUGUGACGGUACCUGCAGAAGAAGCACCGGCUAACUACGUG